RNAcentral lists this ribosomal RNA (253 nucleotides) under uncultured bacterium. Its description in RNAcentral is "partial 16S ribosomal RNA". It matches the Rfam family "Bacterial small subunit ribosomal RNA", at positions 524 to 776 of the family's 1533-position model. The record is from RNAcentral.
UACGGAGGGGGCAAGCGUUAUUCGGAAUUAUUGGGCGUAAAAGGCGCGUAGGCGGCUAGAUGUGUCAAAGGUGAAAUCCCUCGGCUCAACUGAGGAACUGCCUUUGAAACUGUCUGGCUUGAGGCCGGGAGAGGGUAGCGGAAUUCCCAGUGUAGCGGUGAAAUGCGUAGAUAUUGGGAGGAACACCAGUGGCGAAGGCGGCUACCUGGCCUGUUCUUGACGCUGAGGCGCGAAAGCUAGGGGAGCAAACGGG